Molecule: long non-coding RNA, 1249 nt
Organism: Oncorhynchus tshawytscha (Chinook salmon)
Lineage: Eukaryota; Metazoa; Chordata; Actinopteri; Salmoniformes; Salmonidae
Source: Ensembl
GAUGAGCGUGUCUGGAGAGGGAAGGAUGGAGGGAGGGAAGUCGGAGGGAAGGAUGGAGGGAGUAGAGUCGGAGGGAUGGAUAGACGGAACGGAUGAGCGUGUCUGGAGAGGGAAGUAUGGAGGGAGGAGAGUCGGAGGGAUGGAUAGAAGGAACGGAUGAGCGUGUCUGGAGAGGGAAGGAUGGAGGGAGGAGAGUCGGAGGGAAGGAUGGAGGGAGGAGAGUCGGAGGGAUGGAUAGAAGGAACGGAUGAGCGUGUCUGGAGAGGGAAGGGUGGAGGGAGGAGAGUCGGAGGGAUGGAUAGACGGAACGGAUGAGCGUGUCUGGAGAGGGAAGGAUGGAGGGAGGAGAGUCGGAGGGAUGGAUAGAAGGAACGGAUGAGCGUGUCUGGAGAGGGAAGGAUGGAGGGAGGAGAGUCGGAUGGAGGGAGGAGAGUCGGAAGGAUGGAUAGAAGGAACGGAUGAGCGUGUCUGGAGAGUGAAGGAUGGAGGGAGCAGAGUCGGAGGGAUGGAUAGACGGAACGGAUGAGCGUGUCUGGAGAGGGAAGGAUGGAGGGAGGAGAGUCGGAGGGAUGGAUAGAAGGAACGGAUGAGCGUGUCUGGAGAGGGAAGGAUGGAGGGAGGAGAGUCGGAGGGAUGGAUAGACGGAACGGGUGAGCGUGUCUGGAGAGGGAAGGAUGGAGGGAGGAGAGUCGGAGGGAUGGAUAGAAGGAACGGGUGAGCGUGUCUGGAGAGGGAAGGAUGGAGGGAGGAGAGUCGGAGGGAUGGAUAGACGGAACGGAUGAGCGUGUCUGGAGAGGGAAGGAUGGAGGGAGGAGAGUCGGAGGGAAGGAUAGACGGAACGGAUGAGCGUGUCUGGAGAGGGAAGGAUGGAGGGAGGAGAGUCGGAGGGAUGGAUAGACAGAACGGAUGGAUUGAUGGGGGGGGUGGACAGAGACAGGGAUGUAUAAGAGGGAGGGAUGUAGAUAGGGAGGGAUUGAGGAAGGGAGAGGGAGGGAUUGAGGUAGGGAAGGAUUGAGGGAGGGAGGGAGCAUAACUAGGGUCAGUGGAGGUGUUGGCGCAUGGGGAUUUGAGAUGACAAGUGGACUGGCAACAGGAAGAGGACAAGGCUACAGGAAGUGGACUGGUUAUAUUAUAUUGGCUGGGGUGGUGUGGUAGCCUACAGGAAGUGGACUGGUUAUAUUAUAUUGGCUGGGGUGGUGUGGUAGCCUACUUGAAUGAAAUUCUACUAUAUCCUUUGGGGUUGUUGAGU